GACAGAGGGUGCAAACGUUGUUCGGAAUUACUGGGCGUAAAGGGCGCGUAGGCGGCCACCGCAAGUCAGUUGUGAAAGCUCUGGGCUUAACCCAGAAAGGUCAACUGAUACUGCGGGGCUAGAGUGCAGAAGGGGCAACUGGAAUUCUCGGUGUAGCGGUGAAAUGCGUAGAUAUCGAGAGGAACACCUGCGGCGAAGGCGGGUUGCUGGGCUGACACUGACGCUGAAGUGCGAAAGCUAGGGGAGCGAACGGG
Molecule: ribosomal RNA, 254 nt
Filed under: uncultured bacterium
Lineage: Bacteria
Description: partial 16S ribosomal RNA
Rfam family: Bacterial small subunit ribosomal RNA
Source: RNAcentral